AUUCUAGUAGCUUAACAUAUAGCAUUGGUCUUGUAAACCAAAGAUUGAAAAACCUCAACUUUCCUAGAAUA
This 71-nucleotide transfer RNA is filed under the name Malacochersus tornieri. RNAcentral's name for it is "tRNA-Thr". It matches the Rfam family "tRNA". From Rfam's summary of the family: Transfer RNA (tRNA) molecules are approximately 80 nucleotides in length. Their secondary structure includes four short double-helical elements and three loops (D, anti-codon, and T loops). The record is from RNAcentral. Lineage: Eukaryota; Metazoa; Chordata; Testudines; Testudinidae.